This 138-nucleotide small nucleolar RNA is filed under the name Pteropus alecto (black flying fox). RNAcentral describes it as "Small nucleolar RNA SNORA46". It matches the Rfam family "Small nucleolar RNA SNORA46". From Rfam's summary of the family: ACA46 is a member of the H/ACA class of snoRNA that guide the sites of modification of uridines to pseudouridines. The record is from Rfam by way of RNAcentral. Lineage: Eukaryota; Metazoa; Chordata; Mammalia; Chiroptera; Pteropodidae.
AGCACUAUAUUUAAACCUGUGAAUGGGAAUUUUCCUCAUUAUAGGUUACGCUGUAGUGCAAAAGAAUUCCUGGCUCUUCCUGUUGCACAGCUGACUUUGUGCCAUUCUGCUGUUGCUGUAUGGAGUUAAGGAACAUAA